This 464-nucleotide ribosomal RNA is filed under the name Vreelandella stevensii. Its description in RNAcentral is "partial 16S ribosomal RNA". It matches the Rfam family "Bacterial small subunit ribosomal RNA", at positions 338 to 795 of the family's 1533-position model. The record is from RNAcentral. Lineage: Bacteria; Pseudomonadati; Pseudomonadota; Gammaproteobacteria; Oceanospirillales; Halomonadaceae.
CCUACGGGGGCAGCAGUGGGGAAUAUUGGACAAUGGGCGAAAGCCUGAUCCAGCCAUGCCGCGUGUGUGAAGAAGGCCUUCGGGUUGUAAAGCACUUUCAGUGGGGAAGAAAGCCUUGGGGCUAAUACCCUCGAGGAAGGACAUCACCCACAGAAGAAGCACCGGCUAACUCCGUGCCAGCAGCCGCGGUAAUACGGAGGGUGCGAGCGUUAAUCGGAAUUACUGGGCGUAAAGCGCGCGUAGGCGGUCUGAUAAGCCGGUUGUGAAAGCCCCGGGCUCAACCUGGGAACGGCAUCCGGAACUGUCAGGCUAGAGGGCAGGAGAGGAAGGUAGAAUUCCCGGUGUAGCGGUGAAAUGCGUAGAGAUCGGGAGGAAUACCAGUGGCGAAGGCGGCCUUCUGGACUGACACUGACGCUGAGGUGCGAAAGCGUGGGUAGCAAACAGGAUUAGAUACCCCAGUAGUC